Long non-coding RNA from Fukomys damarensis (Damara mole-rat), 2106 nucleotides. RefSeq lists it as uncharacterized. The transcript has 4 exons. The record is from RefSeq and is a predicted model, not a curated record. Lineage: Eukaryota; Metazoa; Chordata; Mammalia; Rodentia; Bathyergidae.
ACUUCUAUUCCUAGCUCAUAGCCCUUCCCACAUCUUCAAAGUGCACCACGCCAAUCUCUACUUCCAUCAUCACACUUUCUUCUCUUUGUAGCCAAAAGUCCCUCCUCUAAGGAUGUGGGGGUGACAUUUAUGGCCUACCUGAAUAAUCCAGACGAUUUCCCAUCUCAACAUUCUUAAUUAUGUCUUCAAAGUCCUUCUCGUCAUAAACGGGACCUUAACUGGUGGUCCCAAGGAUUAGCACAUGGAUGGCUUGGGGCCACCAUUUACCCUCCCACGGAGCCUAAGUGUGCUUGCAACAUAUUCCUUAAAGAUCCAUUUAUGAAGUGGGUCAAGGCAUGUCCAUUUCGUAAAACAUGUGUCUGACUGAGAACCUCUUGUCUAGCAGAUAGCUUUCAGCCUACAGUGACCCUCCAUCUUAUUGUCUCUCAUGUUUUAUGUCAGAGUCUUAGAAUAGUGUUAUUACCCCGUGGCUGUGUAGCUGCUCCAUUGCUGAUUGGGCAUCUGUACACCAGUGCAUCAACAACCCCAUUGAAACCUCAAAAGCUUGCAAAGUAGGUUGUGUUUACAUUUCACAAAUGCUGAGAGAGGCUCAGAUUGUUACGUCUGCCCAAAGCCACACAGCCAGGAGAAUGUAGAUCAAGAACCCAAAUCCAGAUCCAUUCUAGAGCCCUGCACACCCUACCAAACUGCCUGAAGCUGCAGGACAGGAUACGGAGAAAAGUAAUUUUCAGGUGACUCCCCAGGUCGUGCAUAUCCAUUCCCAGCCCUGCCAUCAGAGCCACCCAACGAGUCUCAGAAUCCCACAGCCCUCUCUUUCCACUCCUGACACCUGUAUUGCUGAUCACUAUCCACGCGCAAGAUCACCAACACUGGUGUCAGUGAAGGAGCAGCCCUCUGGGAUAUGAGCUCAACUCUCUGCCCACACAGUUCCUCUCUGAUUAGGCUGCCUCCCCCAUACACUGUAGGAUACGUACUGUGGAAAGUUGAGAACACGACUUGAAUCAACUGCUUGAUGUACUUGUUCCAGGCUACCAUGGCAACAAGUGCUCAUCCCAGCUGCUGCUCCAGACAAGUUUAGUUUUCUGCCCUCAGAGUUCUGCUUUAGCAUUCCUGACAAGCCUGGCAGAACCGAGUCAUACUGGAGAGCAGCCUUAAGGUUCAGAUGUCCUUGAUUCCUGUGCAAACCGACAAACUUGGAGGUGAGAAGUUCCAGCUCUGUGAUCAUGGAUCUGUAAGUUCCAUCCUGGACAAGCUAUUGUGGGUUUAAAUGCUCUCAGUAAUAUGAGCACUGUGGGCAAAGUAUGUUUCCAGUGUGUGCGGCAUGGCUCAGUAGAGGGGGUAUUGGUUUCCUAUUGCUGCGUGACAGACACAAACCUAGUGACGUAAGACAUGGAUUAUCUUACACUUCGGGAGGUCAGAGGUCCAGAUUAAAACGAUGGCACUGUGGGCCUCCUGAAGACUCUAGAGGAAAGUCUGUUUCCUUGUUUGUUCCUCUGUCAGGGGCCACCUGUGAUCCUUGGUCUCUAGCCCUACGUCAUUCAGAAUUCUGCUGCCACUGACGCAUCUGCUCUAACUCCAGCCAUCCUGCCUCUGACUUAGAAGGACCUUGCCAUUUGGAUCACGUGGAAAGUCUCACGAUGUCAAGACCCCAAUCACACCUGCAGAGUCCAUGCUGCUAUUGGAAAGGUGAUGAUAUUGACAGGUUCCAGGGACUAAAACAUGGACAUGAGGAUUGAUUCUACAAACUUAUGAAAAGAAUCCAGACAAAACCAAAUGAAGUGUGUCAAAAGAAGGCAAAAGAAUCCAUCACAAAGUUAGAGACCUACUGUGUGUCACAAGAUGUCAACCACGUAGUCCUACUCUCUGCUUGAUUUCCAGGUAAAUAACAAAUCCUAGAGUUAUCACCGCACCCACUAAGGCAGCCCCAGCAGCCACUGCUUUUGAAGCAACAUCUCCAGUGAUCCCACGCCCUCUGGAGUCUACAACAUCUGGAAAGGAAGAAGACAUUCGAGUUGUAAGGUGGGGCAGGGCACGUCACGGAACACAGAGGGGAGUCCAGAAAGAGCCGGUUGCAGACUAAAGCACUGCAGUGGAAGUACACCUGGA